AACAAAGGGAAGCGAGCCUGCGAGGGUAAGCGAAUCCCAAAAAUAACGUCCCAGUUCGGAUUGCAGUCUGCAACUCGAGUGCAUGAAGCUGGAAUCGCUAGUAAUCGCGGAUCAGAAUGCCGCGGUGAAUACGUUCCCGGGUCUUGUACACACCGCCCGUCACACCAUGGGAGUCGGGAAUGCCCGAAGCCGGUGGCCCGAUCGAAAGAAGGGAGCCGUCGAAGGCAGGCCGGAUGACUGGGGUGAAGUCGUAACAAGGUACC
RNAcentral lists this ribosomal RNA (263 nucleotides) under uncultured bacterium. Its description in RNAcentral is "partial 16S ribosomal RNA". It matches the Rfam family "Bacterial small subunit ribosomal RNA", at positions 1238 to 1500 of the family's 1533-position model. The record is from RNAcentral.